This 465-nucleotide ribosomal RNA is filed under the name uncultured bacterium. Its description in RNAcentral is "partial 16S ribosomal RNA". It matches the Rfam family "Bacterial small subunit ribosomal RNA", at positions 28 to 507 of the family's 1533-position model. The record is from RNAcentral.
GACGAACGCUGGCGGCGUGCUUAACACAUGCAAGUCGAACGGAAAGGCCCCUUUGGGGGUACUCGAGUGGCGAACGGGUGAGUAACACGUGAGUAACCUGCCCUUGACUUCGGGAUAACUUCAGGAAACUGGGGCUAAUACCGGAUAGGAAUCCUUGCUGCAUGGUGGGGGUUGGAAAGCUUCGGCGGUUUUGGAUGGACUCGCGGCUUAUCAGCUUGUUGGUGGGGUAGUGGCUUACCAAGGCUUUGACGGGUAGCCGGCCUGGGAGGGCGACCGGCCACAUUGGGACUGAGAUACGGCCCAGACUCCUACGGGAGGCAGCAGUGGGGAAUAUUGCACAAGGGGCGGAAGCCUGAUGCAGCAACGCCGCGGGCGGGAGGACGGCCUUCGGGUUGUAAACCGCUUUCAGCAGGGGCGAAGCUUGUGGUGACGGUACCUGCAGAAGAAGCACCGGCUAACUACGUG